UACAGAGGUGGCAAGCGUUGUUCGGAAUUACUGGGCGUAAAGGGCGCGUAGGCGGCCAUCUAAGUCAGACGUGAAAUCCCCCGGCUUAACCUGGGAACUGCGUCUGAUACUGGAAGGCUCGAGUUUGGGAGAGGGAUGUGGAAUUCCAGGUGUAGCGGUGAAAUGCGCAGAUAUCAGGAGGAACACCGGUGGCGAAGGCGGGUCUCUGGGCAAUAACUGACGCUGAGGAGCGAAAGCGUGGGGAGCGAACAGG
RNAcentral lists this ribosomal RNA (253 nucleotides) under uncultured bacterium. Its description in RNAcentral is "partial 16S ribosomal RNA". It matches the Rfam family "Bacterial small subunit ribosomal RNA", at positions 524 to 776 of the family's 1533-position model. The record is from RNAcentral.